UCAGCAGUGUAGCUGGUCUCGGUAUUGUUCCGAGAUAUCCAUCCCUGAGGUUUCUGCCCCCGGCGGUGAAUUAAAUUUUGUUGCCGCGGUCACAACAACGGAAACCAUUCGUAAUUUCGACUCCGACAUUUCUGUUAGGAAACCAUGUCAGAAGACCCCGUGAACGGUAUUUUGCGGAGCUACUCAAUGGGAGAAAACUGCCCAUAGCGGUUCUCAGGUGCACCAGGAGGAUCAGUCCGGCACAGGGACACACCCAGGAAGUCCCGAGAAGAGGUCGAAUCAGGCGAAACUUCAACUUCACGCAGUCCCUCCUGAGUGCCAGAUGUCGGCAUGCUGAUAUCAAAGCAGGACCUUUUCACAGCUUCCCAAGUCGAUGAGGUGCAGCCUGCUCCGUCCACCUGACACUGUGCCAACGACAGAAGAAGAGCCAGAGAGAGGAAUGCUGGUCUCACAAACUGAGUGAAUUCAUGACAUUCCAGCAGGCUUAUCUGAUUGCAUCUGCAUGGACUGGACCAGACCGCACGCUGUCUCUUGACCAGUGUGCCACCACUCAACAUUCUCCCCUUCAAACAAAGAUCUGUGCGUAUCUGUUUGUAUGUGUGUGUGUGUGUGUGUGUGUGUGUGUGUGUGUGUGUG
Long non-coding RNA from Xiphias gladius (swordfish), 636 nucleotides. RefSeq lists it as uncharacterized. The transcript has 4 exons. The record is from RefSeq and is a predicted model, not a curated record. Lineage: Eukaryota; Metazoa; Chordata; Actinopteri; Istiophoriformes; Xiphiidae.